RNAcentral lists this unclassified non-coding RNA (1588 nucleotides) under Hevea brasiliensis (rubber tree). Lineage: Eukaryota; Viridiplantae; Streptophyta; Magnoliopsida; Malpighiales; Euphorbiaceae. The record is from RNAcentral.
GCUUGCGGUUUCAGUGAAAUCUCCUACUCAGACUUGGCAGGCUCGACCCUCGACGACUGCUGCACUACUGUUUCUCUCUCUUCAUCGCCGUCCGAGAAAGUAAAUGGCGAAAAGGCGAGACCGCCGAGUCGUGCAGAGUUCAGGUCGCCGUCAAGCCCGCGGCGACACGUCCACUCAAGUGGACCAAUUCAGCGAGUCAGCAGCUUCAGAUCGCAAGCUCAUCACCAUUUUCGUCUCCUUCUUCAUCGUAAUUCCCGCCGUCUCCGUACUGGUAUACUGUAUCAAAUAUGUUCCAAAUACGUACAGAACGGAAUCACAUGCACACCAAGAAGGGCGUGUUAAAACUGAUUUGAAUUACCAAGAAAUCCUCAGUAAGAAUUCAAAGGUUUCAAAUAAUGCAUCUCACCGGCAGUAUACAUAUCCAGUACUAGCAUACAUUACUCCCUGGAAUUCUAAAGGGUAUGAAAUGGCAAAGAGGUUCACGAACAAGUUUACGCAUUUAUCGCCUGUCUGGUAUGAUCUGAGGAGCCAAGGCACCGACUUAAUACUGCAAGGGAGGCAUAAUGCUGAUAAAGGAUGGAUCUCAGAGCUUAGAAUGAAAGGAGAUGCUCUGGUGUUACCUAGAGUUGUUUUGGAAGCAUUUCCAAAAGAGAUGCUUAUGAAGAAGAAACUGAGGGAUAAAGCUAUUGAGCUUAUAGUAUCAGAGUGCAAGGAAAUGGAAUAUGAUGGAAUUGUGCUCGAGUCCUGGUCAAGGUGGGCAGCUUAUGGCAUCUUGCGUGAUCCAGAUACGAGGAAUAAGGCCCUGAAGUUUAUAAAACAACUUGGGCAUGCACUGCACUCUGUGAGCUCAGCAAGGAGCAGUAAGCAACCUUUACAGUUGGUCUACGUUAUAGGGCCACCACAUUCAGAGAAGCUUCAAGUGCAUGACUUUGGCCCAGAGGAUCUUCAGAGCUUGAAUGAUGCUGUAGAUGGUUUCUCACUCAUGACCUAUGACUUCUCAAGUCCUCAUAAUCCUGGUCCAAAUGCACCUUUGAAGUGGAUCCGUUUCACCCUGCAGCUGCUCCUUGGCACCACUGGCAGUGAUGCCUGGACCCAAGCCCAUAAAAUAUUUCUUGGCAUCAAUUUUUACGGAAAUGAUUUUCUCCUUUCUGAAGGUUCUGGUGGGGGAGCUAUUAUUGGGAGAGAUUACCUCUCUUUAUUGGAGAAGCACAAGCCUGACUUGCGAUGGGAGGAGGGCAGUGCAGAGCAUUUUUUCCUCUAUGUUGAUGAUGAAAAUAAAAAUCAUGCGGUGUUCUACCCAUCGUUAACAUCAGUUUCUCUACGACUAGAGGAAGCUCGAAUAUGGGGAACGGGCAUCUCGAUCUGGGAAAUUGGGCAAGGUUUGGAUUGCUUUUUUGAUCUUUUGUGAGAAGCAAGUUUUGUUGUUUUUGUUAUUAAAAAAGAUCUUUAUAGGAUGUACCGUUCAUCUCCAACUGCAUACUGUAAAAAUUUUUGCUGAAGUUCAGUUUCAUCUAAUGGAGUUCGUUGGCCAUUGGCCAUGAUCACCUUAUAUAAAAUAAAUUUUGGCUUAAAAAAAAAACAAAACUUG